CGGCGCACGGGUGCGUAACGCGUAUGCAAUCUACCUUUUACAGAGGGAUAGCCCAGAGAAAUUUGGAUUAAUACCUCAUAGCAUUGCAGAAUGGCAUCAUUCAGCAAUUAAAGUCACAACGGUAAAAGAUGAGCAUGCGUCCCAUUAGCUAGUUGGUAAGGUAACGGCUUACCAAGGCUACGAUGGGUAGGGGUCCUGAGAGGGAGAUCCCCCACACUGGUACUGAGACACGGACCAGACUCCUACGGGAGGCAGCAGUGAGGAAUAUUGGACAAUGGGCGCAAGCCUGAUCCAGCCAUGCCGCGUGCAGGAUGACGGUCCUAUGGAUUGUAAACUGCUUUUGCACAGGAAGAAACAACGCUACGUGUAGCGUCUUGACGGUACUGUGAGAAUAAGGAUCGGCUAACUCCGUGCCAGCAGCCGCGGUAAUACGGAGGAUCCAAGCGUUAUCCGGAAUCAUUGGGUUUAAAGGGUCCGUAGGCGGUUUGGUAAGUCAGUGGUGAAAGCCCAUCGCUCAACGGUGGAACGGCCAUUGAUACUGCCAGACUUGAAUUAUUAGGAAGUAACUAGAAUAUGUAGUGUAGCGAUGAAAUGCUUAGAGAUUACAUGGAAUACCAAUUGCGAAGGCAGGUUACUACUAAUGGAUUGACGCUGAUGGACGAAAGCGUGGGUAGC
This 675-nucleotide ribosomal RNA is filed under the name uncultured bacterium. Its description in RNAcentral is "bacterial SSU rRNA". It matches the Rfam family "Bacterial small subunit ribosomal RNA", at positions 96 to 769 of the family's 1533-position model. The record is from RNAcentral.